RNAcentral lists this long non-coding RNA (1804 nucleotides) under Citrus x clementina. RNAcentral's name for it is "Citrus clementina (C. clementina) long non-coding RNA (CCLE_LNC006803)". The record is from RNAcentral. Lineage: Eukaryota; Viridiplantae; Streptophyta; Magnoliopsida; Sapindales; Rutaceae.
AAAUGUCCAAUAACUAUGUUUAAGAUUAUAUAUAUAUGAAUGAUAAUAUGAAGAGUUGAAGACAAACAAGAUGUCAUUUAUUCAUAUAUUAAAAAAACAAAAGUAAACAUGUCAUUCAAACAUUUAUAUUUAGACCCAUUUAAACUUAAGAAAAAUUCAGUCCCAUUUUGAUUUCAAACAAAAAACAAAUAGUACUCUAAGUUUCCAAACUAUAGUGGUCAAUGUUAAUUACAACUACCCAACCUUAAUACUAAACCAGAUCUUAGUUAAUUCUAAUUGAGAAUUCAUCACGUUAAAGAAUUAAAAUUAAGUUAUUGCUUUGUUGUCUUAAAUAUUUUAUAAUUUCAUUAUUUGGUAGGUAAAACUUAUGAGGAAACGUUAAAUUGCAUAUUUUAGCAUUAUUCGGCCUCCAUCAAUCUUAUUUAAAAGAGUGUGAAUAUUUUGAAUUCGAAAAAAGAACAAUUUAAAUGAAUGAAGAUGUUUUGAAUAUUAAAUAACGUGAUUGCGCCUACCCUUGUUGUUUUUCAUCCAAAAUAAUUAAUAAUUAAAAAAAAAAAAAGAGCCAUCAGCAAUUAAAAAUGCUUUAAUGGCUGUCAUUGUUGUAGAUUAUAUACUAUAUUUGCAUAAUCAGUCCCUUUCAGUGGAUAGUAUAAAAUCCAUCCAAGACAGCGAAGUAGCUAUUCAUUCUAACUUUAAGAAGCUUACCGUCUCAAUCAAGUUAAUGAGCGGCUAUUUUUCAUCUCUCGACACACAUACUUUACUUAUUGUUUAUUCGCAUGUUCAUAAACCCUAAUUUGUUGUCAUUAUAUUUGAUUCAUUGCUCCCCUCCAUACGAGGGGAAAUGUGUUUGAGUUUGUCUUUAUAAAUAGAAGGUUAACUUCGUAUGUAUUUAGUUUAAUUUUCAAAGAUAUGUUCGGUAGACAAAUGUAUGAAUUCAGAUUGUCGAAACAUAUAUCAUAAUAGUAUUUACAUGAAUUUAGACUCUUCAUAAAUUCAAGUUAUGUUAUAAUCAUAUGGUUUUAGAUUUUCAACAGUUAUCCUUCUAUAAUCAUAGUUGUAUGAAGUUAGACUUCGGAUAGAUUCUUGAUUGUAAUAUAUUUGUUAGUAAAUUGUAAUAUAAUAAUUUAAGAAUAUUAAACUCAAAAAAAAAAAGUACUUGUCUCUUUGUAUGGGCAAAUAGUACGUGUUCUAUAUUAUUGUAGUUGUAUUUAUUUUAUUUUGGUAAUGUCACACUUCCUUAAUUUAAAGUAACGAGAUAUUCAUUUAUUGAGUGGAAUGAUGAAAUAGUUUAAUAAUUAUUUACAUAGGUUAUAAAAUUUCACCAUCUAGCCAAUCAAACCGGGAUUACAAGAUACAAUAACAAAUCUAUAGAAUAUAUUAAGAUCAAUUUUGAAUCAAUUUAUUAAUUAAUCCGAGCACAACGGAGCAUGUAUGCAAGCAUGGUCCUAUUUUCGAAAAUUGUCAAGAUCAAUCCUUUUUGUGCUUAGCUAAUGAAUGGCUAGCAUUUGCGUCACAUUUUUCACCUCAUCAUUGUUGGCUUUCCGGGCAACAUAUGGUGCAUGCCAUGUCGAAGAUAUAACCCAAAAAGUUAGCCCCCCAAGAAAAAAAAAAUAAAAUUGGUUGAUACCAAAUUAAUCUUUCACAUCUUUGAUGUCACAGAAUUUUUCAAUAAUAAUAGUUUUUCAUGUCUCAAUUAACCCACGUAAGAAUUUCUUCAACACUUGCACAAUAAAAUUUAUUGAUAAUAUAUUUGUUAUUUUUAAACACUCAAUCGUUUUUUCUUUGAUGUCUAUAUGAUUAUUGG